ACUGUCAGGACAGGGUUCGAACCUGUAUCGCAAUUUCCGAAGAAUUUUGUCCUACCUGUUAGACGACCUGACAA
RNAcentral lists this transfer RNA (74 nucleotides) under Enterococcus phage iF6. RNAcentral's name for it is "tRNA-Arg". The record is from RNAcentral. Lineage: Duplodnaviria; Heunggongvirae; Uroviricota; Caudoviricetes; Herelleviridae.